Molecule: non-coding RNA, 211 nt
Filed under: Pseudosulfitobacter pseudonitzschiae
Lineage: Bacteria; Pseudomonadati; Pseudomonadota; Alphaproteobacteria; Rhodobacterales; Roseobacteraceae
Source: RNAcentral
GCAGAUGCGCGGGUGAUUGGUGCCUGCGCAAGCAGGUGAAAAGGGAAUGUGCAGCCGCGAUCUUUCACGGUAAAGCACAGCCGCCCCCGCGACCGUGAGCGAAUAGACUGUGUAAGGCCACUGGCAUCCCGCUGGGAAGGUAUCACAGUCGCAGGACCGCAAGGUUCCGAGUUCGUAAGCCGGGAGACCUGCCAUCACCAUACGACGUAAC